CGCGUGCUUAUGCUGUCUCAGACGACAAGAUGAUGAGCCGUGCUCACACCCCAACACGGCGUGCAAGCGGAAACAAGAUGGUGAGCCGGGCUCGCUCAUCCCCCCUCUGCUACUAGUGAUUUGAAGUUAACCGGUGCCUAAUGAGCUGGAGUUACUGACAAUCUUUAAUCUAGUCAUGUGAAUUGUACUAGUGCUUAAUGAAUUACGUGAUGUGUAUGUGCAUGAACUACAUGGUGCGUAUAUGUCCUUGGAUUUUCUAAUCGCUGCGGUCUCAUCUGGCAGAUGGACAAGAACGAGAUGGCACCGGUCCAGGGGGUGCCGCGCAUGCGGGGGAGCAUCGCGUCGUCAAGUGCGGUUGGUAAGUACGUAUACUUUAUGCUGCUUUUAUUUUUGUCAGCAUCGUCUCAAUGCAGGCUACAUUGGCAAACAAGCUGCGUAACUCUUGUCCAUGCCGGGUUUUUUUCAUCACUAGCACAUAUGCCUGUUGCGUUGCAAUGGGAAAAACUGAUGUUUUAUGCAAGCAUAAUGCCUCACCACAUCGGAUUCCCUAUGAAGAAAAUGUUGCAACAUAGCAUCCUUCUACAAAAUGAACAUAAAAAAAUACGAUGCAAUUUAGCCGUUUUAUGUUUUCUUUACCGGGCGUAAUCUUCCACUGAUUCAUUUAAAUAUAGUCAUUCCUUGAAUUACCAUGACGUCCUCAUCCAUUUUAGUCGGGAAUCAAAUCCUUCAUUUUUCUAAUUUAGUAGCCCCAACACAUUGAAGCCUAUAGACCCUUCCUUUUAAUUAUCCUACUUUUUUUGAACUUUUAAUUAUCCUACCUUAUUUUUGAACUUUUAAUUAUCCUACAUUUUUAGCUAAAGUUCUUCCUUAAAUUAGCCUCAUCUAUUUUAAUAUUCUAUUUAUUAAGACCACAAUCUUUCUUUUAAUUAUUUCACUGGUUUGCCAUAAUUCUUUCUUUAAUUAGCCAUAUCCAUUUAAAUAUUUUCUUUGAGGCUACAAUCCUUCCUUUAAUUAGCUCGCCCUAAACAUCAGGACUGCCACUCGUAUGUUUAGAGCGAGUUGGGAUUAGUAAAUGUGAAUGGCGCAUAGGUCGUUGGUUGUUAAAUCAAAGAUCCAGACAGGAGGUCCUGUGUUCAAUUGCCACAAUAUUGGUUAUUUUGUCCCAACUAUUUUGUCGCGGUCUCUGUGAAAACUCAUAAAAGGUCCAUCACGUACAAGUACCUGGCCCAAAUAGCUUAGCCUGUGUAUGAGCCAACGAAAAGGACUAAACCAAACCAAGAAUACUUAUUCCCUUUAAUAGUAGGUAUAGAUUUGUAUACUGAUAUUGGACUGAAGCUUGUUUGCUCUGUCCAUGCUGGGCCUUUUUGUCAUCAUUAGUAUUGUUACAUAUUAGCUGAAGCUGCACAUAUUUUCUUUCCAUUAACGUUUGUUGGGCGGUGCUACGCAUCAAUCGGCAGAUCGUUGGCCGCCUUACUCACCUGAUUUUAAUCAAGUCCCACCUAGGAGUAGUUUGUUUUGUCACUAGCCGUGUAAGACAUAUGAACUGUAAUAAGAAACAUGCAAUGGCUAGAAACAUCUUCGUACAUUUUUCUGGGCAUGUUUUAAGUGUCAACAAAAUUAGUCUCAUCGCCUGUCGUCUGAUUGACACAUGGAGCAUUGGAUCACACUACAUGGCUGCAGAGAGAAUGGAACCCGUCUUCCUCCAUAGCCUCCACAAUGCAUGUGUAUCCCCUAGCCCCUCCCCCAUCGUCGCAACAGGAUAUUACAUCAGCCCCUCGCAACACCUGGCAUCGGUGCCCUGGAGAUCCCCAAUGUCGCUUGCAUAUCCUGCAAGUAUUAUUACAGUGCGCCAACGAGGCGUCUUCCUUGCAACAUUGUCUUACAGCCAGUGUAGUUGAUGCCACCACCACCCUCACCCAUAGACACAUGGGUCGUUGCUUGUGGCACUGGUCGUCAGAUAAAACACACCCCACGAGAACAUGCGAUUGGACCACUGCGAUCUAUGCAACUUAGGAAUUGUUGUGACAGCCCCUGCAAAACUAGCGAUGAUGCGACCAUCGCCCUGCAACAUCUGCCGUAGUUGUAGCACAUAUGAGAAGAUGGUUGUAGGACCUAACAAAAGUAUGUGAUUGUAGCACCACAAGUGAGCACUGCCUUGCAACAUCAGCUAUCAUGAUGCAACACCGACAAACACACUUGCAGCCUUGAAACAUUGUGUGCCUUGGCUGAUGUAGCCUAGUGCUCCUCUUUCAGCAUAUAGUGAUGGCUUGUAGCAGUGAUGGUCGGAGAGUCACAUCAUCGGUGAGUGUCAGUGCUAGCCCAACUCAUCGUCAUAGAGAAAGGGGAACAAAGGAUGGGUGUGUACAUGGUGGAAAUAAAGCGAAUGGGUAUAGUGAAGAGAGAGGAAGACUAACAAGGGGCAUCUGGCGCUAGAGCGAGUUGACUCAUUCACACUCGCUUCACCCUGAAACCAGUCAUUGAAUAUAAUUCCAAUUUCUAUUGAAAGACCUCAUAAAAUGUUGCAACAUGCGAGCAUGUCUAUACAAAAAAGUUGUACGUAUACAACACAUGGAUCAUCGGCAUGCAACUACAGGCUCUUCCUAGGUUACGCCCAACUGUGAGCCGUUCAGUUGGGUCACACAUCACUACCCAAUCAACCACCAACUUACUUGUUCCUCUAGUCUCCUCUCCCCACCCUUCGCAGCAUACACCCAUGAUUCUCAGCAAUGGACCAGCAUGGAGCCGACAAUGGUGGCCAUGAUAGGCUAGUGAAAAGCACACUGGUGAUCAACCUAACACUAAACACAACACUGCAACAUGAGGUAACCCCAACUUUGUAGCACUGGUGCACCAUUUUGCAGCAAAGAAAAACAUGCCAAUGACCCGCCUUGCAGCACUAUCAACCACCUUGUAGCAAUGAAAAGUUCACCGGCCAAUAGCUUUGCCGCAUCAAGUGACCGACUUCUAGCACUGAACAACUGGGCUUGCAGCACUGCGAUGAUCGAUGGUCGGCCUUGCAACAGUAUUAGUUGACAUUGCACACCUCAUCUCUAUUUUUAUGUACAUACACAUGAGUGAGAUUGGAACAUCAGUAACGUAUCAACAUUAGCAACCUUGAAGAUGAUAAGUUUGCUUCUCCAAGCAUCGACAUUACUGAACAAGCGAGCAACUGCACACCCACCCCAUGAGCCAUAUUUUCUGAGCACUGCUACAAUCAAUUAUAGUUGGAAAAGUGCCGACAAUGAUAGUUGUAUGUGAUCAAAAUAUAUUAAAUGUAGGGGUGGUUGGACUGCCUAUGUUGAAUCAGGCUAGACGCGAGGUCACAAGUGUCUUGCCUGAAUAGCCAACAAGACAAAAGGAGGCCUCCUAGGUUCAAUCCUGAAGCUAAGCAUAACUCCAGCUCCAGACACGCUCAGGGGAUACUAAAGGUGCACUACACUAGGGGUGUCCUCUAGGUGGGAAGCAUGGUAGCAGGCCUGCCUUAGGGCCCAAGAGGCCAAGUGGAGGAUCGGUGCAGGAGGGGAGCUAAUGAGCCCAGAUAAGGACUGUGAGAGCAUCUUGGCAGGCAAGCUAAGAUGGCGGCGGUAUGACAUCUGAUGGAUUCCUUAUAAACCUAGCCCUCAUCACGUAUAUAAGGAGGGGCUAAUGGUUGUCAUUCGCAUAUAGUCUCGUAGACUAAUACUCUCUGUAGCAUUAUACAUCACCACCACUCUAAACCCCUCGCACAAGGUGCUCCACCAUGAAAAAAAAUCAGAUACAUGAUGUAGGGCAUUACCUCUCACCGAGGGCCUGAACCUAGGUAAAACACUUGCGUGAAAUCCCUUCUCGUGUAUCCGGACGUGUUCACCACCCUACUAUGGGUACUAACGGUUUUACAUGCUAUCACAUAGUUACGCCCCGACACAUUUUCUCUGGGGAGUUGAAAGCAACUCAUGGUGUAAGUAGGUGUUGGUUGCAACAUUGAUUUUACUAGCACCUCCUUUCCCGCCUUCGAGAUACCUUGUUCUUCCUAUCCAACCACUUUGCCAUUUGAGCUUUCUCUAUCAUGUUUAAAAUUUGCUUCCUCUGACCUGCCCACCACAGUUGGGAGCCCUAAAUAAUGCUCGCUCAAUGCCCUAGGAUCAGUGCAAAGAUAUUGACAACAACUUUGUACUCCUAUUUGCCUCACUUCCCGAACAAAGUUGAGGCUUUUUGAAGAUUUAUCAUUUGUCCCGGGGCCCAGUCGUAGUCAAAGAGGAUCUAUUUAAGGUUACAAAGUUGCCAUUUGACAGUUGAAGAAAUACAAUACUAUAAACUGCAAAAAUUAGAUGGGCUACAUGGGGCUAGUGCUCCCAAAAGAUAUACAAUUGAUCUCUUUCUCUUUGAGCAUUCAUGAGAAAGGCCGAAAAACUCGCAACAUAGAAAAUAAACAAAUAGGGGGACCAUGGGUCUCCUUGCUAGAUCCCUCUUGAUAGUGUAAAAAUGACAGAGCACACUCCAUUCAAUUUGAUAGAAAACCUGGCCGGGGUACCACACAUCAUAAUCAUCACGAUCAACCUAUCAGAGAAGCCAAGUGCCCUCACCAUCAGAUCAACGAAAAUCCAAACCACCCUCUUAUAGGCCUUCAUCAUGUAUAGUUUAAUUGCGAACAUUAGAUCUUUCUAUUCUUGAACGAACAUACUUUGCUCCUCCGUGAUCAUUACAGAUAUGACAACCUUCAAUCUCUUUGCUAGGCCUUUGAAGCAAUCUGACUGAGUGUGUUCAAUAGGCUGAUUGAUCCCAUUUGAGGAUGUAUCUCCAGUGAGUUAAUUUUGGGGAUCUGGACUGGAACUGUAUCCCUGAAGUUUGGAGAAAUAACUCAAUUAAAAAAUCCACUAUUACUAUGCGUACAUCAUUUUUUAGAAAUGACUAGUGAAAUUGGUAAACAUAAGUCGAGAGGUUGUCUGGCCCUUGCGCUUUUGUCAGCCCAAUUUAGAAUUGUGCAUUCUCAAUUACUUCAUCCAUCAUGAUCCGUGUUUACUCUCUCCUCCAUAUCACUAGUCACUCAUGGUUGGAUGUCAGCUAAGAUGUGGUCAGCUUCAGCAGAGAAUUCUGAAGAAAACAAGUAUGCAUAGAAAUCGGCCGAAAUCUUCCCCAUCUCAUUGUCAAUAGUACAGAUCAUUCCAUCCGCCCUCAUGUUUUGAUCGUCUUCCUUGAGAAAUUCCAGUCGAGAACAUUGCCUAUACAUUAUUUGUUCCCAUGCAUGAACCACAUGAAGCUACGUGUCAAUAUCGCUGAUUUUCGGUGAGGAUGUCUGGAUCCCAAUGCUCUUCCCUUUCCAUCGAAGCUAGACCUUGUGCCUAGUAAUCUCACAUCAUACGGAACAAAACACCGAGCUACUGCAAUGUUGCAUAUCAUUGGUGACAUUGUCACGCUUCUGUAGAGCUCACUCUGGCCGAAAUUGUUAACACAUGCACACUCCCAUGUCUCCAUGGGGCAUCCACCUCUCCUCAAACGUUAAUGCCCGCUUCUUACUUUUGGUAAUGGCUAGGUUUUCUAGUACUCUAUAGUGAGCAAAGCAUGGUCUGGUCCUCCAUGAGAACAUGUUCAAUGGGUGUAUCCUACAAUGAAUGCAUGAAAUCGUCAUUGCAUGGACCCCUAUCCAGAUGUACCUAAAUGAUCUCGUCCUCCUCCCUCUUAUUGUCCCAUGUGUACAUGUAGCUCCUAAACGAUGGUUUAAAAAGCUAUUAUUGACUAUGCUCUCCCUAAUGUUCUCCAUUUGUGUGAAACUCCUCAAGUAAUCUCCUAGUUGUUAUGAUUAAAAGAAUUCUUUGUUGAGGUAUCAUUGUCACAGAUAAAUGUAUUAUUAGGAUACAGUCUCUCAGAGCCUCCCUUAGCUACACAAAUUUGUUUAAAUCUCCCUUCCUAUCCAGUAGCUUUAGCUGAUAAUCCUUGUGACAAAUUUGGUGGUCAUCUUUCCCAAUCGUCUUGCACCCUUUCCCAUAUAGUUUUUUCUUAUGUCUUGCUUCCUUUCAUGCUCCUUUCUCAUGUCCCACUUCCUUUUGACAUGUAAAUCAUCCCUUAGUUCACAAUCAUGUCACCGAUCUUGCAUGCAUUGGUCCUCCCUGCACUUCGUCUUUCUUAGACAGUUACCCUCUACAAGACCAUCUUCAGGAUCCUCGCUUGUGAGAGAGUCCACAAAGGGAGUACAAUCAUUGUAUCACAUGCGCCUAAAUGGGAGGACAUGCAACGCUACAUGACCCCUGCGACCAUAGACGCCCUUGCUUUACCUAGUGCUCCCAAAACUAAAGUUCCUGCUUUCUAUCGCCGAGUUCCAUGUCGGUGUACUGAACUAGGGCUCUCCUUUGUACCCCUUACUUGUGCAUGGGCAGUCAUAGCCGCGCCCACGACCACACUUAGCAGGGCAGAAGGAGGAGUCAAAGACGCAAGACGGUCAAAACAAUGCCAAGACCAGAGACACGAAGGCCAAGGGAGCGAGGUGGACUCCGUCGGCAAGACCCUUCCCGGGGCAGCCCCCGCAGCCCCGACAAUAAUCUUGCCGGGGAAACUUGCCCAACACCAGCAGAGCGCGCCACCCUUGAGCCCAAUAUUUCCAAACACCAUCAACCACGUUGGAACCAGGGCUCGGGAGGCACCUCUGUUGUGGCGUGCAGAUCUUUGUGAAGACAAGGAUCAGAAGACGACGAUCCUUGGCAAGAUCCUUGCCAAGGGAAUCCACGAGACCUCCGGAAAAAUCCUUGCCGGGGAUGACCACAGUGCCACGGCAAGACCCUUGCCGGGGCCCCAGCAAGGCCCUUGCCGAGGACAUCCAUGUGGCCACAGCCAGGCCCACACCCAUCAAGGUUCCACCGCCGUUUCUAUGCAGCUGCCAGCCCACCAGCCAGGCAGGCACCUGCGUGUCGAUGCGAGGUCUCCAGGCCAACUCAGCGAGCGCCUACAUGGUGGCAUGCAGAUCUUCGUGAAGACCCUACCACCGCGCCACCUCAGCAGCCUGCCAACCUACAUGGUGCCACACGCCCCGCUGUCCUGGAAGCAUGUCGGGGCAAGAAAGGAGCGGCGAUGGACGGGACGGGCCUAGUUCCCGCCCCCGAUAAAGCAAGGGGACACCUCAGGGGCACAUUAAAUGUGUUCUGUCCCGUAAUGGCUAGCGAUAAGCUCAACCACUGUACACCUUUCCACCUCCUAUGUGCUACUAUGGUGAUCCCCUUGACUAUAAAAGGAGGCCCGAGGCAUACUGGAGAAGGAUUCGGACCCUUGGACAAGUUAUGCAUCGUAGCUAGCUCAAGAACUCCAAGAACAAUCAAAUAGAUACUAAAGCAGGACUAGGGUAUUACGCAUCCUCGCGGCCCAAACCUGGGUAAAUGAUCUGUGUGCUUCCUGACUGCUGAACCCACUCUUCUCACAACCCCGCGCCCGCCGAACCGUAGUAGGGAUUCUUGUGAUCCCAUAGGUGUCGUUCCCACCGACAUUCCACGUUGUUUUUUUCUAUGAGGAGCCAUUUUCAAGUGAUGUCGUUAACCAUUCAACCAACUUGGGUGAGGAAUCAACAUGUGGUUAAAAUCAUUCGUCAACAUGUGCUAGUCUGUCGCAGUCAAUCCAAAAGAGAGGCAUCUUCUCAAAUUAAAAAUCAAACAAGGUCCCCUCAUAUUUCGCUAAAGAGUUGAGAAAGAAGUGUCGAACCAGUGAAACGAAUAUGAAAAUUCUAGCUCUAACUCUGAGAUGGUCCCCCCCAUAAAUCCAUCCUUUUUAACAUGAACCUUUGCCAUGCCCCCAAGACAAUUCCGGAGAGCAUUCCCAAAAGUAUACGAUUGUUUAUAUAGGGGAGGAUAUGUAAUUCUCACCCAUGGCUCCGUCAUACAAAACAUUAUCUUCGAUUACCUAGUUUUGUCAUCAUAAUCCUUCAAAACUAUCACAUUAAAACCAAAUUGCCACAUUCCAUUAUAUAGAGCAUGCUUCUAGACUCCUUUGUUCUCAAAUCUCAAGAAGAUAUUAUUGCCAAUGUGACUUAUUUGGGCUUCCUAGUAGAGUCCCCAUGCGUGUUGCAUAGCCCUAGCAAACACGUUGAUGUUGAUUUGCUGGAGUGAGCAUGCCUUUCCAACCACUGACCACCUAGUAGGCCUCGUGCGUUCUGGAAUCCUGAUCCUCAAAUAUGAGAUCUUUUAGUUCCUUUUUUCUCCAGUUCAGGGAUCCUUGUUUGGUUGAGAAAUUUGCUGCCUCCCCUGAAGCAUUUCCAUCUAUCAGGGAAACUGAAGGUUCUCAUCUUAACGAUCGUUGGUCGCCCGCUUCACUUGAGCUAUCGAUCUAUGCCACGCCUUCUCUCCCAUUGUCGCGAAAAGGAGUGGAAGCACCAAGACCAAUCAAUGUAGGAAUUUACAGCGUCAUCGCCCCAUAGAUGAAUAGAACCAUAACCCUAGCACUACCUGCCGGUCGCCUAUAGUCGCCAUUUGCAUUUCCUAUCAUGGUGGGCCCGCCACUAGGUAUAUAUAUGGGUCCUUCCAUUGGUACUCUUUUCUGUGCUGGAGCCUUUUUGCUACAUUUGUCUUUCUACAAUGGCGGUCGUAUCCAAAUCAUAUAGUCUCCUCUAUCUAUUGGAAGCCAGGAAGUUGAGAGAAGUAUUGUCGCAUGUGAAGACGACACUAAGAGUGUGACACAUAUAGGUGCAAACUUUACGGAUAGUGCAUAAUUUAUGGAUAAUGCAAAUUUCAGCAGAUAUGAACAGCUCCAGGGGUAACAAGCGCACAAAGGAAUCAACCACCAUAAAUGUAUCAUUUCCAAAGAAACAAAGUCACAAAAAGAGAGACAAGAUAUUAGCAUCCUUAUGGAGAACACAUAUAUUUAAAUGUUGCCUUGCUCUUUGAUUAGUAACAAGAAAUAUUUUUUACUAAUGUAAAAUGUGUAAAUCUUGGUAUAUAUGGAAUGUAUUUUAGUCGGUAUGUUUUAAUGAAUCAUAUCAAUUUUUGGUAUGUUGAAAUUAGAACAAGUUCAUGUGCCUUCAAAGCAUGUCAAGGUGUGUUGUUCCACCUCAAAUACACAUACUAAGUGGUUAUUCUCCCUACAUAUAGCCCCAAUUCUCAUUCUCUCUCUCUCUCUCUCUCUCUCUCUCUCUCUCUUUACAUUUCAUAUUCCAGAAUUGCCGACACUACUCCAUAAAGCCUAACUGGUGAAGGUCCAGAAACACCUAGAAGUGACGGGUUCAACUCCCGUUAGUAGUCUAUACUUAGUGGAGAAGAAACAAGCCACUUAUAGGCACGUGCCCGCGAAUGGUGAGCAAAUUGGAAAAGAAAAUCAGGUCAUGGGCGGUCCAAAUCCGGCACCUGCCAACAAUGUGUAGUCUCCACUACUCGAACCUACUUUUCCUGAGUAUGUUGUUGUCUGAAGAAGCCAUAGAGUCAGGGAUCCAAAUAGAGAAAACAAUGAUGGGUAGUCGCUUCAAGAAUAGGAGCCAAGAAGGCGGAUGGAGAAGGCCUCCACCAUGCUGCACCAUUGGCGGAUGAGCACUGACCCGUAUGGUGCAAGGGCCGAGCCAGAACUGUGAAGUAUCAUCAUCUGGGUGUUAGAGGAAGUUGGACUAGUGUGUUGAUCUUCUCGGACAAACUAAAUGAUUUCGUGGAGUUUGCACACAUGCCACAUUCCACAAAGAUAACAACAUUGAGGAGGAGGAGGGGCAACGAAAUGUUUCUUCCUCAGAGGGAUUACUUUCAAGGAAGUGGGGGAAGGGUAUGACAUGAUGAGCUGUUAACAAGGGAAGUUUGAGUGGUUGUGGAGGACACAUCAUGAAGACAAGUGUGCUAGUAGCUUGAUAAGGGAUGAAUGAUAGCAGGAAGGAAUAAUGAGCUUACUGGGUGAGGCUACUAUUUUUUAAGUUGCGACCUAAAUUAUAGGGUAAUUCUUUAGUCACUAUUAGGAUGUGACUAGGGCUUGUAAGUGGUGGGCUGUAUAUUACUGACAAGCAGCAUGUUUAGCCUCCAAAUUGUCCUCUGUCACUGGUAACAAUGUAUCAUUGAUGGACCACAUAUUGGGCCCGUCACUACUACCUUUUCUAAAAAAAAUAGAAUUUUAGUUAUAGUCAGGUUCACAACAAUCCCGGUGGCCAUUACUGCUAUGUAGCACUGCUGACGGGUUUUGUGACCCACCACGUUUGAUCGAUAACUAGCCGAGAACUCUAGUGUAGUGCACAUUUGUUUCAUUGAAAUUUUGUUAAUGUUUUUCUGUGCACAAAGACAUAUCAAUUGACCCUAACAGGUGUUCUCUUUAGGUGGGGUCGAGAGUGAAGGAGUGCGGAGCUUGGAAACAGGGAAAAUGGCACCAAGAGUGGUUCAGUUCUCCACUAUGAAUACCCACAACAUUGAUCUGAAUGAGGUGCCGACUGAGCAUGUGUAGCUCAAGAAGGAGUAGUAGCCCAUGGAGAAAGAGUAGCGCCUAUGGCACAACAUGAGAUUUAGUAUUCACAAUGUUUGGAGGCUACUUAAAUCCGCAUGUGUGAGCAAAGUAACUCUUGGCCAAAAGCGUAGCCCUGUCAAAAAUUAUCAAAACUAUAUUCCUAUCCCGAGGAUGAUUGGAAGUCUUAUGUGGAACUUUUUGAAUUUAUCGCUUCCUUUUUUUUGGUGAUUGACUGACGCUAUUGCUAGACUUGAGGGAAGGAGUUGGUAUACUGCCUCAUGAUCACCAUGUCAACUCUAAAUGGAUUUUCUAUUCAUUUCUCAUGAUGGUUUUGUUAUGUCGAUUGUUUGAGCAAGGAGUUAUUGAUUCGGUAAAGGUUUGUGAAACAUCAACGGUGGAGCUAGGUUUUAAGUCAUGUGAAAUGACAAUAGUUCAAGAAGCGUGUUCGAUCACGAGAUAACAUAUUUUCUAAGUUGUUCAUCAUGUGUGUUGACACCAUGGGUAGUAUGAGGAAGCUCGGCAUGCAUGUUUGGGUCUGAAAUGACAUGCAUGACCAAAAAAAGGGAUGAAAACAUGGCUAAUAGGAAUCACAAACGAUAUGGUUAUGCAACCACACAAGAUGUCAGAGGGCCCGCAUCCUUACAUAUCGAGGUUGACUUCAUGUGCAAACUGGAUCGCAUCUAAAUUAUUGUAUAUGUAUGUAUGUUAUAACUUGGCAUCUUACCAAACAAAAGAUAUCCAAAAAUAAACUAUUUACCUCUCUUCAAUGCAUAUUCUAGUGGGAGGGUAAUCAUAACCAUAUGGGGAUAUUUUUCCAUAAUAGAAUCUAUAAUGGUCUAGUGAGGCAAGGUGUAAAUGGAGAGGAUAAUAGCCGAACAUAAAAACAUGCAACAUUGUGUCACAAUUGCACCUAGUUUUCUAGUGGAACAGUAUGGAAAUGGAGGAGGCUAAUAGGGAAACACGAGAACACCCAACAUGUUUCUCUACUUACUUCCUAUUGGUACGAAGAGACCGAGACUAGUGAAAGGUUAAUCAUAACAUAUGGACAAGAUCUCUCAUACAAGGUGAAAAUGGAGUGAAUCUUGUGUGAAAAUGGUAACCGAGUAUGAGUGUGCAUAGCAUACGAUCUCCUCCCUUUCUUGUUCGAGUUUCCUUCACCAAUCCUAUAGUAUUCUGAAAUUUUACCGCACAAAGUAAUCGGUUUGUAAUUGAAUGUUCCCCAUAUUGUGACUUUGAUGGUCAUAUGUACGAAACAAUAAGAGCGAUUUGACAUUUUUUGUCCAAGAGAGAUGAUAAGCCCAAAUAAUCUCCAUGGUGAAAUUAACUUCCUCCCUUGAGUCAAACCCACAUCGGUAAAUAUGUGCAACUACAAUCCACCUCAUGGCUAUCUUGGAGUCCUUCAUGUAAUCAAAAGUACCCCAUAUGGUGACUUUGAUAAUCACAUAUACUAUUGGGGAGGAGCAAGGUGACAUUUUUUGCCAAGGAGAAAUGAUAUUCCAUACUAAUUGACCUUCAGAAGCUAAUCGCCUCCAUCAAGUAGACACAUUAUUUGUUAUCCUAUAACUGGAUUCCCCGGAAGCACAAGAAUCCUUAUAAUAGAAUUACAACUCAGCACUUUUUUUUUGAGAUAUUGAGAAUAGUUGCUCUUUGGAGAGCACGGUACUAUGAAAGUUGUAACAUGUGUUCCGCUGUGGUUAUUGUCUCGCCACUCUGUUCUCAACUAUUUUGAUUCUAGAAAACAGAGGCUAUUAGGUCAAAGCCAUAGCGCACGCCUUGUAGUUUUGAUGUGGGGCGAGACAACUUUACCUAGGAACCUCUUUUCCUUCUGACCAGCUCCCUAAAAACAAUGUUCGACUUGCAUGUGUAGUCAGUGUAGACAUGUCAUUGCAAUUCCACCACUAGGAUAUCAAUAAGUCCUAUUUAUUACAUCCCAACAUAUGCCCCCAUAUGGUGACUUUAUAAAUUGAAUACAUUUCACCAAGUUUUUGUAUGCCAAUUAUAGUGAAGGUAGUGACUCACAUGUCGGCCUCCCUAACGGGAAGCAAAAUCAAUCUAACUUUGGCAACCUAAAUAUUUUAUGGAUUCAAGAAACCAUGUUGGAUUUGUGUGGUAUUUAUUUCCACAUAUAACAUAUGAAAUAAAGAAACCAGUUCAGAAUAGGAGUCUUGCAGACACUGAUGUCAAUAAUGUGGAUUAUGGGAAAUCAUAUUAUGUGCCUCAAAAUAAUCCCAAGGUCGUGGCUUAAGAUAUACGUGUACAAUAUUUCAAUGGGUAUGCCCCCUACUAAAUUCAUGAUGUUAAUCGGUUCGCAGAAGCUUAAGUUGAGAAAGAAGCUUGGGCAACAUAUUUCCACACACCCAUCGUGUCUAGGCUCGUCUGAAGCCUAGAUAACCUUAGUCAUGGGAUCAAUGACGGAUAUUAAUAUGUUUACCCGGUUCUUAACUCAAGUCCACCUUGCUUGAUACCAUAUUGAAUGGAAAGUACAUAAUCAAUUUACUUAAGUGGGUGAACAAUGUUGGCUAGUUUAUUUCAACACUCACUUCACUUGCAUCUUUUCGGGGCAUAUAAUGCACCGUGUCCAAAACAUUUUUCUAAAUACUAAAUUCCAAUGGAAAUAUUUAACUAAUUUAGUAGCAAUCUCGUAUGUCAAGGAUAUUUGGCCAAUGAAAAGGAGGGCUCAAAUGCUACUUGUUGGCAGUGAGAAAAAUAUGGGCUGCGUUAGCAUUAUUCACCAAAGCACACAAAAGUCAAGUUCUAUUUUUCCUCCCAUAUUGAUCCUCCAUGGUUCUACAUUGGACAUUACAAAGAGAACAAGUUAUCUUCACACACCGACUAGAGCUAGGGACAAGAACAUGGAUGUUCCACCGUGAAUGUCCAUAUGGUACAAUAAUUGUUGAUAUUCUUUGCGGGAAGGUGAGAUGUUUUCACUUUUCAGAUCGGCGAAGUACUGAUUUCUUAUAGGGGUGACAAGCAGUGUUCUAAAUAUGCAUUUGCAAUUCGUUGUCCAUUUAAAUUUGGUUUCUUCCAUAGAUUAUGUUGGUUUGUUGCUGUAUUGAUCUCAGCACCAAAGUAUACUGAUGUUAGCUAAAUCUAAUCAAAGAACGAUGUUUCUAUCAUGUUCAACAAAUUAGGAAGCUAUGUACAGACCAAAGUCAAGUUGUAGAAGCCCAGACUGCGUGAAAUACGCAUCAUGCAGUACCCAUGUACAUCUUAGAGUUAUGUUAUACUUAACUUCAAGAUAACAAAUGUUAUCAAUUACAGAUGACAAAUAUUAUCACUUGUUACUAUCUUUUGCAGCAUGUUUCCGCAUAUGUUCAUCGUAGAAUUAUCUUAUGUAGUCUCCCAAGGUUCAUGCAACUUGGAUUUUCAUACUCUGGUACUAUUACUGUUUACUAGGACUAGGUGCCACUCUGUAGAAGCUGGGGAUACAGAUGGAGAAACUAGUCAUGUUUUUGUACCAAAAAGUUUGUUCAUAACUAUAACAGGUUUAUUUAUUUUCAGUGUAUAGUGUUGAAACUUAGAGCGUUUUAUCUCAUUGACAAUGAACUAUGCUGGCAAGGAAAAACCUACAUAUGACAUCGAACUAUGCAUGCAGGGCAAACACUCCCCGCAUCAGUGCCAUCACGCCGCGAACCAUGGGAGCUUGAACCUGGAUGGGUGUGAACUUAUGACUGAAGUCAAGGUGAGGGGUCAGGCAUGGAUAGAUAAUAAAGGAGACUUUGUGAAACCAUUAGUAGUAAUAUGGAUGAAACAUUGCCAUGGAGAGAGAAUAAGAGAUUUCGGGAGACAUUUAUAAAUGGAUGCAUACUUGCAAUUGCAAUACAAAAUAUGAUGCUGACAUUUUAUUUUCAUUGUUAUUCCCAUUAAACUUCUCGUGGUGGCUCCAUUAUUCACAGCCUCAGACAUGGAAAUGUUGUUUUGUUCGGUCAAGUAUUGUGUG
This 14299-nucleotide long non-coding RNA is filed under the name Triticum aestivum (bread wheat). RNAcentral describes it as "long non-coding RNA (TAES_LNC017155)". Lineage: Eukaryota; Viridiplantae; Streptophyta; Magnoliopsida; Poales; Poaceae. The record is from RNAcentral.